CAGAUUAUCCUAAAUGAGAGACACCCUACAUCGGCCACCAUGCCCCAUCUCUCACUUCCGCCGUCCCCCUACCCUCAGCAGCUAGGAUUCCCACCGUUGCCGUCCCCUUGCCCCGCCUCCCCCUGUUCCUUCGUCGAGCCCGCCUCCGUUGCCACUUUCUCCGCGCGUCGGGGAUGCAUACUGCAUCUCCGCCAUCCUCCUCGCGUCCGGGAUGCACACGGCGUCGUGGCUAUCCUCCUCGCGUUGGGUAAGGUGCGGCCGCCACCAUUCCUCCGCAUAGCCAGGGACGGCGCAAGCACCGACGCCCCCGUCCUCAACUGCAUCAGUUCAGCAGAUAGAUUUGGUGUAGUGAUAUAAGUACUGCUACAUGAGGCGAAAAGAGCUUGCAAGACAAUGCAGAUAAAUUGACGUUGCAUGGCUCAGAUGUUGAUUGCAAGGUUAAGAAUGAGGCUACUACAAGAUAAUAAGAAUGUCAUUUCAGGAUCAAAAAAUUUAGAAUGACAUUUUUAGGGUCAAUAUUUCAAACAUUGAUAGAUAGUUUCACCUCUUGUAAUCUUUGGAUCAUGUUCUUUAUAAUACACUAU
Long non-coding RNA from Triticum dicoccoides, 584 nucleotides. RefSeq lists it as uncharacterized. The record is from RefSeq and is a predicted model, not a curated record. Lineage: Eukaryota; Viridiplantae; Streptophyta; Magnoliopsida; Poales; Poaceae. The transcript has 3 exons.